CAGUCGCCACGGUAAUACGUAGGGUGCAAGCGUUAAUCGGAAUUACUGGGCGUAAAGCGUGCGCAGGCGGUUAUAUAAGACAGAUGUGAAAUCCCCGGGCUCAACCUGGGAACUGCAUUUGUGACUGUAUAGCUAGAGUACGGCAGAGGGGGAUGGAAUUCCGCGUGUAGCAGUGAAAUGCGUAGAUAUGCGGAGGAACACCGAUGGCGAAGGCAAUCCCCUGGGCCUGUACUGACGCUCAUGCACGAAAGCGUGGGGAGCAAACAGGAUUAGAUACUCGCGUAGUCCCUGUCUCUUAUAC
This 301-nucleotide ribosomal RNA is filed under the name uncultured bacterium. RNAcentral's name for it is "partial 16S ribosomal RNA". It matches the Rfam family "Bacterial small subunit ribosomal RNA", at positions 509 to 807 of the family's 1533-position model. The record is from RNAcentral.